This 257-nucleotide ribosomal RNA is filed under the name uncultured bacterium. RNAcentral describes it as "partial 16S ribosomal RNA". It matches the Rfam family "Bacterial small subunit ribosomal RNA", at positions 99 to 356 of the family's 1533-position model. The record is from RNAcentral.
CGGACGGGUGAGUAACGCGUGGGGAACCUGCCCUGUACCGGGGGAUAGCAGCCGGAAACGGCUGAUAAUACCGCAUAAGCGCACGAAUGUGCAUGACAUGGUGUGAAAAACUCCGGUGGUAUAGGAUGGACCCGCGUCUGAUUAGCCUGUUGGUGGGGUAAAAGCCUACCAAAGCGAAGAUCAGUAGCCGAGUUGAGAGACUGACCGGCCACAUUGGGACUGAGACACGGCCCAGACUCCUACGGGAGGCAGCAGCG